This is a long non-coding RNA of Anopheles stephensi (Asian malaria mosquito), 1036 nucleotides long. RefSeq lists it as uncharacterized. The transcript has 4 exons. The record is from RefSeq and is a predicted model, not a curated record. NCBI's taxonomy places the organism in Eukaryota, Metazoa, Arthropoda, Insecta, Diptera, Culicidae.
GGGCGGGCGUCGAGUGUGUUGUUUAUCAGCUGUGAUCUGUGCGUGUGAAACUUUUUCGUUGUGCUGAAACGGAUUCAAAAAUCUGUUUGCUCUACAAAGUCGAUGAGUGCAUCUAAUCAGUUCUGCAGCGCCAUGGUGAACGUUGGGAGGUGUCGGGCACGGAAGACAGAGCGGGAAAAGGUUCACGACAACUAUGCGGUGAGGAGGAUAUCAACUGAUUGUGCAUUUACAUUUAGCGGGUGAGCCCACACUGUACCUCGUAGGAGAACCUGGCCAUGGGUAUCGGAGAAUGCAUAUCGUAUGCCGGGAUCGUGCGCGGCCUUGAACACUGACUCUGCUCGAUCACGGGUUCCAAAUUGGUCAUUACGUUACCGGCGGCUUGCCAGCAAUCAGCAUUGGGUGUUCUUUUUCCGUUCAGUUCUUCCUACCGUCCUACUGUGUAUAAAGUGCCUUCCAUUAACAUCUCCCGACAACAAGUUGGAGUUGCUUCUAGCACGGCUGAUGAUGGUGCUGUUGCUAUAGAGGAAUGUUGUGUUGCCUGGUUGCACUGGACAAGAUGAUUCACGCAGUGUAGUCGAUCUCCUGUUGGUGUCGAUUGUAUACCGUUUCAGAGGUAUGAAGAGGAGUGAGGAGCUUCCUUACUACAAAGUUCUUUAUAUAAGGUGAAAAAGUGUACAAGAGCCAAUCAUUUGGUGUUUGUACUCGAUUCCCUUCGAGCCGGAGGCCCAUCCCGGCCGCUCAGUGCGAUAGUGUUAGGUGCUAGAAAUACAAGAUGUAAAUAUAAAAUGGUUACUUUACAUGUUAAUAUAGAAGAGGUGAUUAUAUAGGUUAUAGAAUUACGGCUUUUACUUACCAAUAAAAACAUGAACGAGCGAAAUGCAUCACGUACAUAUUGCGCAACUGAACCAGGCAAAGAAAUGCUCCAGUGUCGUCCCCAUUUUUGUCCGGAACAUGGUCGUCGUGAAGGUUAAUGUAGUAACGGUAUUUGAAGGCAUAUCCUGAGCCGAUCCCUCCGCAUAUCCUGAGCCGAGCCGAA